AGUAAUGUCUGGGAAACUGCCUGAUGGAGGGGGAUAACUGCUGGAAACGGUAGCUAAUACCGCAUAACGUCGCAAGACCAAAGAGGGGGACCUUCGGGCCUCUUGCCAUCGGAUGUGCCCAGAUGGGAUUAGCUAGUAGGUGGAGUAACGGCUCACCUAGGCGACGAUCCCUAGCUGGUCUGAGAGGAUGACCAGCCACACUGGAACUGAGACACGGUCCAG
This 222-nucleotide ribosomal RNA is filed under the name uncultured bacterium. RNAcentral describes it as "partial 16S ribosomal RNA". It matches the Rfam family "Bacterial small subunit ribosomal RNA", at positions 109 to 334 of the family's 1533-position model. The record is from RNAcentral.